CAGUUUAUCCUGGCUGUAGCCAAACCAGUACGCAACAGUAUAGGCUGUCUUUUGAGUUCAUAUAUUUAUUUAUUGACAGGCGAUGCCGUUUGAAAACUAAGGUUGCUGCCUUUUCUACACAACUAGCUUGUUGAAUUGUAAGAGGGAACGCCUGGAAAGGCGGGGUAAACGAAGGCCUGCUGGCCCAUCUAGCCCUGCUCCUUCCCGGAUCACAAGGCACGAGGGCCCCGGUGUCACACUAGUUUCUGAAGCAGCUUGGAACAGCCCACACUGCCGUGGUCAUGUAGAACCCCUCAAAGAUGGGCCAGCUUUACUGCAGGAACACCGUUGAGGGUCAGGGCAGGGAGAGCGCUCACAACCUGAGACUGGGGGAAAGCAGAGAUGGCUGCUUGUACAGACGGGAUCACGGUACAGAUGCUGCCAUGGGAGGCUGCAAGAGGUAUUCACAUGUCAGGGUUGAGACCUGGCAACCCUACGGACCAUGUGACGCAGUCACGGCCACGUUGAACCAAUGGGCAUGGGCCUCCGAACCCCUUAAUGCAGGCCUGAACACAAUCUUACCUGUAGCAGGUUCUUAAAGUAAGCUCAGAGCUAUCAUACCUGUAAUGCAUCACACCUGAACUCCAGUCUCUCCCAGUGUGACAUGGCCAAGCAUCCGCCAUCACGCUGAUCUGUCAUUGUAUCCUGCGUCAUGCUCAAACUACACCGCCGCAAACCAUUAUAUGAGUGUUUAAUGGUUUAGUGUUUACAAUUAACAUAUGGCCUGUUGGACGAGGAAUGACAAUAGUUAUUGAGUUUGAUGUAUUGGUCUAAACUCUACUAAAAGCAUCGAUAUGCGGCGGUAUUUGUGGGUGAAACACUCUCAGAAUGCGUAUGCAGCUGCGUGUUCCAAGCACCGUAAUUAGCAACAGUGUAGUGGCAGCGAGCUUCCCGGA
Conger conger (European conger) is the source of this 935-nucleotide long non-coding RNA. RefSeq lists it as uncharacterized. The record is from RefSeq and is a predicted model, not a curated record. The transcript has 3 exons. Lineage: Eukaryota; Metazoa; Chordata; Actinopteri; Anguilliformes; Congridae.